Molecule: long non-coding RNA, 1299 nt
Organism: Cimex lectularius (bed bug)
Lineage: Eukaryota; Metazoa; Arthropoda; Insecta; Hemiptera; Cimicidae
Exons: 4
Source: RefSeq, a predicted model, not a curated record
UAAUUUUUCAAAAAGUCAAAUAGAUUAAAAUUAUAUUUUUUGUUGUUAAAAAUAAUAAUAUAAAAUCCUCAAAGACAAUCCAGAUCAUUGCAGUAGUUAAUGAAAAAGGUGACCUUGAAGAAACCUUCACCUGUUGCGAAGUUCGGCGAUGUGGGCGUUUUGCGUCCAGGAGCAGGGUUUGAUGAUGAACUGUUAUACUUGGAGGCGGCUAUGCUUGUAACGGAGUUUUAUAUUUGUAUAUGGAGCCUGUAUACGAAGCGUAUUUUGGACAUCAAGGCGAAAAUAUCACGUUGCAGAAGGAAAAGGGAAAGGUGCAAUUAACCGGUACGUGCUGGCCGGGCGGGUUGUGCGUCAAUUUGAACCACCGAUCCCGUUGUUUUUGGCUACCUGAUCGACGCGCAGGUUCCCACAACCUGAGUCACUGGCUCCCUGUAAUCUAAAGCCGCCGAUCAUUCUUAAUAUCGUCAUGAGCGAAGAAGUAACUCCAUAGUGACACUCCGAUGUAGGUAAACCUACGGUAAACAAUUUUCACUCGCUAUCAUUCGAGUUAAGAACUCGAGGCCAUCGGCGUUUAGUCGACGAUUUGGAGUAUCGGUGGCGGAUCAGACAUAAUGAGUCAAAAACAGAGGUGAUUCUGUUCACUCGCAGAAGGCCUAAUGUUGACUGUUUUGUGACAAUAAAUGGAAGGUGUAUUCCAUGGAAAAUAGAAGUGAAGUAUCUCGGUUUGAUGCUGGACUCAAAGCUCACGUUCACCAAGCACAUCAACACGGUAUGCGAUAGAGGAGUGGCUCUGAUCUGCAAUUUAUUUCCAUUGAUAAAUAGACACACUGAUCUGAGUACAUUUAAUAAAAAGUUAAUUUAUUAUUUGUAUAUUCGACCCAUGCUGUUGUAUGCGGCUCCUGUCUGGUCUAAUACAUGUAUCACCAACUACAGGAAGUUGCAGGUUGUGCAGAACAAAUGCUUGAGACUGAUUGGUUCCUUUUACAGGUGGACGCCAAUAGACUACAUGCAUUCAGUAUUGGAGGUGACUAGUGUCUCUACACAAGCCCACAGUAUAACAUCAAGAUUUUGCAAAGCUUGUGAACUUAGUGAAUACACUAAUAUUAGAAAUGUUGUUAACUAUGAAGCUGCCUCCUUGCAGACACUUUACAAAAAAUAUAAGUACAAAAGAGUGAAGCACAUUUUGCUGUAAAUUAACCAUAUAAGAUCAGGUAUAUAGGCAGAAAGCCUGAAGCCAGUCUUUUAAUUUCUUUUGUAAAUACUGUAUAUAUUUUGUAAAUAAAAAUAAAUUUCAAAUUU